UCUGAUGAUAGCAAUGGAGCGAGAAGCAAAACUAAACUUAGAAACACUAAAUCUCUUCUAAACAGAUAGCAAAUCUAAAAUAAAACAAAAUAAACUCAGUGCAAAAUCCAUGAAUUAGAGGCAACAAUUAACCUCAACCCACAUUCCAUGUCCUACAACAACGAGAUAUUUACUUUGUCAAUGCAAUCAAACACAAAAUCGAACAAACUAAUGUGCAAAAAUAGAAAAUUGUACAUACAAUGACAGGGGCGCGACGAGUAGGCGGCGCUGGUCGCGGUGGCUAGGGUAAGCAGACGAGAGGGGCGGCGACGAGCAGGUGGCGCUUCUCGCCGUGGCUAGGGUUAGCAGACAAGAAGGGCGGCGCGACGUGGCAGGCGGUGCAGUAGCGGCGCCUAGGGAUAGCAGAUGACAGGGGUGGCAAAAUUAAGGCUUCCUUCCCUUUCAUGUUUCAGUUGAUUUCUUUGAUUGAGAGAGGUGAAUCGAGAGAGAGGGUCCGAGAAAGUAGAUGCGGCGCCAGAAUCGGAAGCAACAACUGCUCGUCGGCGGCGGCAUCAACCGCUGCAGUGAGGAUUCCGAUUUGGAAGAAAGUUAGGAUUUUCUCUUGCGUUUUCUUCACUAGUUUGAGAGAGACA
Molecule: long non-coding RNA, 632 nt
Filed under: Salvia miltiorrhiza (redroot sage)
Lineage: Eukaryota; Viridiplantae; Streptophyta; Magnoliopsida; Lamiales; Lamiaceae
Description: long non-coding RNA (SMIL_LNC007549)
Source: RNAcentral